RNAcentral lists this long non-coding RNA (633 nucleotides) under Phoenix dactylifera (date palm). RNAcentral describes it as "long non-coding RNA (PDAC_LNC001904)". The record is from RNAcentral. Lineage: Eukaryota; Viridiplantae; Streptophyta; Magnoliopsida; Arecales; Arecaceae.
AAAGAAAAAUUAAAAGAUUUCAUAAAAAGAAAACAGAAAUUAACUUGAACCUAGAACAGGAAUUGCAUGAAAGAAAUUUUGCUAGAUUUCAUAAAAAGAAAAUUGAUUACAAAUAAAAAUGGAGAUCAGAGGCCUAAUACUCCUUCUAUUUUGCAAAUAAAAUAAAGAAAAGAAAAUAAAAACAAAUUACUUCUCUUUUUCCUCUCUCUCCCACGGUGGACCUUCAACAUAAAAUAAUAUUUUUUUCUUUCUUUUUUCCAAGAGCAGAGCCUCCCCUAUUCCUUCUCCUUUGAACCAGCCGAGCUCCCACCUCCCUAGCCCUUGGCCUCCCACCGAGCGCCUUCCCUUUGGACCCGCCGGCCACCACCCUCCCCAAGAGCUCCUCCUCUCCUCUGGUUCUCCCCUUCUUAUAAAUCGCCAGAGCAUGGAGAGGAGGAGAAACGGGCGCAGGAUCUCGGGAGAGGGGCUGGCUUCACGGCUGCGUCGUGGGCGGAAGCUGAGGCGGAAGAGCUACAGACGGAGAAGGAAAUGGCUGGAUCACGGCUGGGCUGCUGGAAUUUCGAAUCCGGCUCGGACGCGAUGCUGGGAGGAUGCGGAAGAGAUGAAGGCAUGUGGGAUCGCCGGGAGGCANNN